This 164-nucleotide small nuclear RNA is filed under the name Salmo trutta (river trout). Its description in RNAcentral is "U1 spliceosomal RNA (ENSSTUG00000039389.1)". It matches the Rfam family "U1 spliceosomal RNA". From Rfam's summary of the family: U1 is a small nuclear RNA (snRNA) component of the spliceosome (involved in pre-mRNA splicing). Its 5' end forms complementary base pairs with the 5' splice junction, thus defining the 5' donor site of an intron. There are significant differences in sequence and secondary structure between metazoan and yeast U1 snRNAs, the latter being much longer (568 nucleotides as compared to 164 nucleotides in human). The record is from Rfam by way of RNAcentral. Lineage: Eukaryota; Metazoa; Chordata; Actinopteri; Salmoniformes; Salmonidae.
AUACUUACCUGGCAAGGGAGACACCGUGAUCAAGAAGGCGGUUUACCCAGGGCGAGGCUCAGCCAUUGCACUCCGGCUGUGCUGACCCCUGCGAAUUUCCCAAAUGUGGAAAUCUCGAUUGCAUAAUUUCUGGUAGUGGGGGACUGCGUUCGCGCUCUCCCCUG